UACGUAGGGGGCGAGCGUUGUCCGGAUUUAUUGGGCGUAAAGAGCUCGUAGGCGGCUCAGUAAGUCGGGUGUGAAAACUCCAGGCUCAACCUGGAGACGCCACCUGAUACUGCUGUGGCUAGAGUCCGGUAGGGGAGCAUGGAAUUCCUGGUGUAGCGGUGAAAUGCGCAGAUAUCAGGAGGAACACCAGUGGCGAAGGCGGUGCUCUGGGCCGGAACUGACGCUGAGGAGCGAAAGCGUGGGGAGCGAUCCGG
RNAcentral lists this ribosomal RNA (254 nucleotides) under uncultured bacterium. RNAcentral's name for it is "partial 16S ribosomal RNA". It matches the Rfam family "Bacterial small subunit ribosomal RNA", at positions 524 to 776 of the family's 1533-position model. The record is from RNAcentral.